GCAGUCGAACGGUGAAGCCAAGCUUGCUUGGUGGAUCAGUGGCGAACGGGUGAGUAACACGUGAGCAACCUGCCCUGGACUCUGGGAUAAGCGCUGGAAACGGCGUCUAAUACUGGAUAUGAGACGUGAUCGCAUGGUCGUGUUUGGAAAGAUUUUUCGGUCUGGGAUGGGCUCGCGGCCUAUCAGCUUGUUGGUGAGGUAAUGGCUCACCAAGGCGUCGACGGGUAGCCGGCCUGAGAGGGUGACCGGCCACACUGGGACUGAGACACGGCCCAGACUCCUACGGGAGGCAGCAGUGGGGAAUAUUGCACAAUGGGCGGAAGCCUGAUGCAGCAACGCCGCGUGAGGGAUGACGGCCUUCGGGUUGUAAACCUCUUUUAGCAGGGAAGAAGCGAAAGUGACGGUACCUGCAGAAAAAGCGCCGGCUAACUACGUGCCAGCAGCCGCGGUAAUACGUAGGGCGCAAGCGUUAUCCGGAAUUAUUGGGCGUAAAGAGCUCGUAGGCGGUUUGUCGCGUCUGCUGUGAAAUCCCGAGGCUCAACCUCGGGCCUGCAGUGGGUACGGGCAGACUAGAGUGCGGUAGGGGAGAUUGGAAUUCCUGGUGUAGCGGUGGAAUGCGCAGAUAUCAGGAGGAACACCGAUGGCGAAGGCAGAUCUCUGGGCCGUAACUGACGCUGAGGAGCGAAAGGGUGGGGAGCAAACAGGCUUAGAUACCCUGGUAGUCCACCCCGUAAACGUUGGGAACUAGUUGUGGGGACCAUUCCACGGUUUCCGUGACGCAGCUAACGCAUUAAGUUCCCCGCCUGGGGAGUACGGCCGCAAGGCUAAAACUCAAAGGAAUUGACGGGGACCCGCACAAGCGGCGGAGCAUGCGGAUUAAUUCGAUGCAACGCGAAGAACCUUACCAAGGCUUGACAUAUACGAGAACGGGCCAGAAAUGGUCAACUCUUUGGACACUCGUAAACAGGUGGUGCAUGGUUGUCGUCAGCUCGUGUCGUGAGAUGUUGGGUUAAGUCCCGCAACGAGCGCAACCCUCGUUCUAUGUUGCCAGCACGUAAUGGUGGGAACUCAUGGGAUACUGCCGGGGUCAACUCGGAGGAAGGUGGGGAUGACGUCAAAUCAUCAUGCCCCUUAUGUCUUGGGCUUCACGCAUGCUACAAUGGCCGGUACAAAGGGCUGCAAUACCGUGAGGUGGAGCGAAUCCCAAAAAGCCGGUCCCAGUUCGGAUUGAGGUCUGCAACUCGACCUCAUGAAGUCGGAGUCGCUAGUAAUCGCAGAUCAGCAACGCUGCGGUGAAUACGUUCCCGGGUCUUGUACACACCGCCCGUCAAGUCAUGAAAGUCGGUAACACCUGAAGCCGGUGGCCCAACC
Molecule: ribosomal RNA, 1371 nt
Filed under: Microbacterium sp. Fse46
Lineage: Bacteria; Bacillati; Actinomycetota; Actinomycetes; Micrococcales; Microbacteriaceae
Description: bacterial SSU rRNA
Rfam family: Bacterial small subunit ribosomal RNA
Source: RNAcentral